GGGCGUGGUCUCAAGACACAGUCAGCUGUUGGGGAUCAGAGGCCACACUCAUCGUAGCAGAGAGGCAGGACCAGCUGGGAGAGGGUCCUUCUGUGACACCUACUGCAUCACCGGGCUCUGUGUAGUGACUCAGCUGCCAGAACUCACACAAUAUCAUUCUGCACCAAAACCUCAAGGGAAAAAUGCAUCACAAAACUCAGACUUAAACAGCACAACAGGCUCCUCCCGGGUCUCCAGCUACACAACCCUCAGACUUAAACAACAGCAGCACCAGCUCCUCCCUGGGUCUCCAGCUCCACAACCCUCAAAUUAGAACUGCAGCACUGGCUCCACCCAGUCUCCAGCUCCACACCUCAAACUUGAACUACAGCACCAGCUCCUCCCUGGGUCUCCGGCUCCACGGACCUUAAACUAAAACAGCAGCACUGGCUCCUCCCCAGGUCCCCAGCUACAGACCCUCAAACUAGAACAGCAGCACCAGCUCCACCUAAAGUCUCCAGCUCCACACCUCAAACUAGAACUUCAGCACCCGCUCCUCCCCGAGUCUCAAUAUCCACGAUCCUCAAAAUAAAACAGCAGCACGGGCUCCUCCCCUGGUCUUCAGCUUCACGACCUUAACUAUAACAGCACCACCCGCUCCU
This 641-nucleotide long non-coding RNA is filed under the name Pongo abelii (Sumatran orangutan). RNAcentral's name for it is "lincRNA". The record is from RNAcentral. Lineage: Eukaryota; Metazoa; Chordata; Mammalia; Primates; Hominidae.